This 1815-nucleotide long non-coding RNA is filed under the name Physcomitrium patens. RNAcentral's name for it is "long non-coding RNA (PPAT_LNC009727)". The record is from RNAcentral. Lineage: Eukaryota; Viridiplantae; Streptophyta; Bryopsida; Funariales; Funariaceae.
AUAAAUGAUAAUACUUCUAUUUUAAAAUAUUGAAAAUAUUCAUAAUUGAAAUAGAAACCAUACAUGGAAAACCAUCCACUUUCCAAUGAUUUACAAACACAUAUAUUAGUUUUUCAAUUUCCUUUAUUAAAAACUUAGAAAUUAUAUUUUAUUACUUUUUUUGUUUGCCAUGUAUAGUUUCUAUGGUUUUCUGAAUUUAUUUGUUUGAUUCAUAUUACAUUCUUGGUAAUGCAAAGCAUAGAUGAAUGUCUACAAUAUGGCUAUCCUUGAAAUGUAAACAAAUGAAUUAGGCAUUGGAAGUAGGCAAAACUUGACCCUUAUCAGAAAGGAUGUAUCAUGGUCAUGUAAAAUUAUCACUUCUCAUAUCUAAUUUUAAUUUUUUAACAUGACGUCAAUUUAAACAAUAACAAUCAGCAUAAUGUUCAUCAUGAUAAAAUGUUUGCAAAUUUUAACUUUAUAUUUACCAAAAGUUGUAAGUUCUUUUCUUUCAUCACUUCAAUGUUUACAAGUAUUACAAGAACUAUGUGAGAGUUUAUAAUAUAAAUACCAAACAUCACUUACACAAGUAUAUUGUGAAGAUGAUACUCAGAUAAUUAUUGGAGAAAGGAUGUAGAACAACAAUGCAACAUAAAUUUUAAGUGCAAAAAUGCAAAAAAUCAAAAUAAAACAAUAGUGAAAAAAAACAUAAAGACAAAAAAUCAUGUAGAACCGAAUCAUCUUUAUUUGCUAUUUUUUUAUUUAAAAAAUUACAUUGGUCUUCAACACAACGUUGCAAUGAUUGUGAAUCUGCAAAAACACGGUAAAAAACACAAUGAAAAAAAUAAUUGUUUAUAUUAAUUUUAUUCAAUAUUAACAGUGAAGCAAGCAUGGCUUGCACUAUCAAAUAAAUUGUAAACAAAGCUAUAAUGCUGAGAAUGUGUUGCACUUUUCAAUUAUAUAUUUAUUUCACAAUAUACAGCGCAAAGUAUUCAAGAUAAUAGUGUAAACAAAUAAUAGCUGGUAGUAUGAAAAAGUCAUCAAAAUGAUUGAAUAAAUGCUACAAAAAUAUCAACAAGAGUUACUCAAUUAUUAAAUUUUAAAGCACUAUUUAAAUCGAUUUCCAUGUUUGUCUUAGUAAUUUGUAUAUUAUCAUUUUUUUUUGUAAUUAUUUUGAAAGAGCCUAUCAAGGUGCCUAUUAAAAUGAUUACUAAAAAAAAAGUGUGGUGAUACUUAAAACACCGAAAUUAACAAAUAAUAAUGAAUUAGGUUUUUACAUAUUUAUAAGUUUUGUCUAAAACGAAGCAGUAGGUAUUAUUCUAAAUCAUAUGGUUAUAAACUCUUGUCAUGCAAUAGUCAAAUAAUUAUGCUUAUAUAUAUAUAUAUAUAUAUAUAUGUAUAUUCCCACAUUUGUAAAUUGGUUGAUUGAUUGAUUUGAAGUUAAAGUUCUCUUUUUUUUUUUUUUUAUCUUCAUGAAAAUCUACUAUGAAUGUUUUAAAACGUUAGUGAUGCCACCAAAAUUAUUAUUAUUACACGAUUGUUUGAGUGAUCCUACAAAAUCACAACUAGUUUUACCAUCAUAAUUGAUGGUAAAUGAAUAAAUAAACAGCUAAUUAUUGUGAAAUAUUACUGCAUGAAUGCUUGUGUGUUUUUUGGAAAAGAAUAUGUUAUUUUUUCAAAAUUUAUUAAUUAAUGGAAAUUUGAGUACUUUCGAUGAACAAAAUAAACCAGUUACAAUAGAAAAAAUCAUUGUGUUGUAUCUGCAUCUUAAAAUUAAAUGUAUUCCACAAAUCUGGGUCUUCCUUAUCAUAAUAAAGACAUUUGAUUUUUACAUGUCAC